ACUCCUACGGGAGGCAGCAGUGGGGAAUUUUGGACAAUGGGCGAAAGCCUGAUCCAGCCAUGCCGCGUGAGUGAAGAAGGCCUUCGGGUUGUAAAGCUCUUUCAGCCGGAAAGAAAUCGCGCAGGCUAAUACUCUGCGUGGAUGACGGUACCGGAAGAAGAAGCACCGGCUAACUACGUGCCAGCAGCCGCGGUAAUACGGAGGGUGCAAGCGU
RNAcentral lists this ribosomal RNA (214 nucleotides) under uncultured organism. RNAcentral describes it as "partial 16S ribosomal RNA". It matches the Rfam family "Bacterial small subunit ribosomal RNA", at positions 335 to 541 of the family's 1533-position model. The record is from RNAcentral.